RNAcentral lists this ribosomal RNA (465 nucleotides) under uncultured Klebsiella sp. Its description in RNAcentral is "bacterial SSU rRNA". It matches the Rfam family "Bacterial small subunit ribosomal RNA", at positions 338 to 795 of the family's 1533-position model. Lineage: Bacteria; Pseudomonadati; Pseudomonadota; Gammaproteobacteria; Enterobacterales; Enterobacteriaceae. The record is from RNAcentral.
CCUACGGGGGGCUGCAGUGGGGAAUAUUGCACAAUGGGCGCAAGCCUGAUGCAGCCAUGCCGCGUGUGUGAAGAAGGCCUUCGGGUUGUAAAGCACUUUCAGCGGGGAGGAAGGCGGUGAGGUUAAUAACCUCAUCGAUUGACGUUACCCGCAGAAGAAGCACCGGCUAACUCCGUGCCAGCAGCCGCGGUAAUACGGAGGGUGCAAGCGUUAAUCGGAAUUACUGGGCGUAAAGCGCACGCAGGCGGUCUGUCAAGUCGGAUGUGAAAUCCCCGGGCUCAACCUGGGAACUGCAUUCGAAACUGGCAGGCUAGGGUCUUGUAGAGGGGGGUAGAAUUCGAGGUGUAGCGGUGAAAUGCGUAGAGAUCUGGAGGAAUACCGGUGGCGAAGGCGGCCCCCUGGACAAAGACUGACGCUCAGGUGCGAAAGCGUGGGGAGCAAACAGGAUUAGAUACCCGUGUAGUC